This 6371-nucleotide long non-coding RNA is filed under the name Brassica napus (rape). RNAcentral's name for it is "long non-coding RNA (BNAP_LNC008263)". Lineage: Eukaryota; Viridiplantae; Streptophyta; Magnoliopsida; Brassicales; Brassicaceae. The record is from RNAcentral.
CAAGAGAUGAGCACGGUCUGAGACCAGGAUCCUUCCUUUGCAGGAGACGCCGUUGGACUCAAGACCAUCGAUCUCUUUGAAGAGACCUGGUAAAUGAACCACAACUCCGUUGCCGAUUACACAGGUAGUGUCCUCGUUGAGUAUACCUGAAGGUACUAAGUGAAGUGCAAACUUCUUCCCUUCUGAGUUGUAUAUAGUGUGUCCAGCAUUAGCUCCACCCUUACACACAAAGAUCACAACUUUAAUAUCAAAAACCAAAACUUUAAUAUUUGCUAAUUAAUAAAAAUCAACAAUCGUUCUAACUUUUUUGAACAUUGGUAAAAAUGUUAACUUUACCUGACAACGAGCAACGAUGUCGAAGUGCUGAGCUAAGAUGUCAACGAGCUUGCCUUUGCCUUCAUCUCCCCACUGGCAACCUAGCACACCCGAUACUUGACUCAGUGAUUCAAUCCGUGGUAUAGACUCGGUGGCGGUUGAGUCAGCGGCGACGCUCAGUGAUGCUGAGAUAGCCUGACGCUUAGCUGAGUAUGAAAGGGAGCUUCGAGGGUGGUUGAGUUGAGGAUAACGGCGGUUAAAUGGGCCUCCGAGGGCGAAUCUUGGCUUGGUGUCGAAGGAGAGAGAAGAGAGAGACAUGUUGUGAAGAGAGAGAGGGGCUGACAAGUCUUUAGGGUUCGCCGGCGGACACUCAAGUACUUACUUCAAACUGUGUUCAGGUGAAACUACAAUGACUGUUUUGCCCCUCCACGUGAACUACGUUGUCUGAAUCAACAAAGUUGUACCGAACCGGGUAUAACAAAUUGAUUUAAUCAAACCGAUCCAUAAUUGAAUCAUUCAUAAUUUCUAGUUGGAGUCAUCAAUUGUACCGGAAUAUGGAGUCAAUUUCGGUUAAACCAAGAAUAAAACCGGUGUAAGCUAUAAAUCCACAAAACAAGAAGCCAAGAAAAAACUAAAUUGAAUUAAACAUAUGGUGUUAUUUUGACGGGCAAAUCUCCAAAAUAGCACUUUUCUAAGUUUAUAUCACAAAAAUAACAUUCAAAAACUAAAAUGACCAAAAUAGCAUUUUAUCUUUUGAAAAAUUUAAAUUUUUUUUAUUUUUCAAAAUUUGAAAUCUUAUCCCCAAAACCUCACUUCUCAACUCUAAACCCUAAAACCUAAACUUUAAACCCUAAACCCUAAAUUAUAAACCCUGAACUCCACCAUUUGAGUGCUAUUUUUGUGACUUUUGGCAUUGAGUGCUAGUUUGGGAACAAAAAUUUGAUUUAGUACUAUUUUGGUCUUUUUCUCUAUUUUGACGGUAUAACAAAUAUAUUUAAUCAAACCGAUCCAUACAAAGUUGGUUCCACAACCAACUAAACCGAAACCUAACUGAAUGAUUCAUAAUUUCUAGUUGGAGUCAUCAAUUAAACCGAAAUACAGAGUGAGUUUCGGUUAAACUGAGACUAUAACUGGUAUAAGCUUUAAAUACACAAAGCAAGAAGUCAAAGAACUAAACUGAAUUAAACAUCUGGUAAGAUUUUGAUUGUAUAACAAAUAUAUUUCAUCAAACCGAUCCAUACAAAAUUGGUUCCACAGACAACUAAACCGAAAUCCAAUUGAAAGUUUCAUAAUUUCUAGCUAGAGUCGUCAAUUGAACCGAAAUACAGAGUGAAAUUCGGUUAAACCGAGACUAAAACCGGUCUAAGCUAUAAGAAAACACAAAAUAAGAAGCCAAAGAACUAAACAUGAUGUGAUUGAUUAUUCCUUUUCAAAAUUAAUGUGUAUACGAAUGAUUCUGCCAGGUAUAUGUGUAUUUACUUCCACAGUUCCAACUUUAGAUCAGCUUGUUUUGUGAAGACAUUCUUGAGGCAAACCGUAAUCUUUUGUCCGGUUCACUACUUGCUCUCGUCUCCAUGGAUCAUUGUGUAGCUUGUAAUGCAGAGUUUGUAUUAAAGUAGCAAAGACGUCGUCGUGUUUCAGUUUAGAGAACUGAACAGCCCAGUCUUCUUCAUGUCCAUAACUAGCUUUCUGUCUUUCUGCUUCAAGCAAGAUGGAGUCUCGGAACAAGAACCUUUGCCAGAGCUUCUUUACAUUAGCCAGUCUGAACUGUAUCUCUGUCUCAUUGAAUCCCUGUUGGAGAUUUCAAACGAAGUGAGAUCAAGAGUAGAAGCAGAUAGUUACAAGAUCUAGAGAGAAUGAUGAAAGUGGUUACUCGGAGAGUGUUUAUGAGAUUUGGAAUGUCAUCUUCGCUAACACGAACUGCAAAGCUUUCGUAGUUGAGUAUGUUCUCAUAAGGUAAGUAGAUUCCAUCCUAAUAAAGAGAGACAUCAUCUUUAGGAAUGUAUAGAAUGCAGUAAGAUAAGUUCAAGGUAAUAUAUAUACCUGAAUGAUGACAGGGACGCAUCCUUGUAAGAUACUAUCUUCCAUGCGACCACUCCAACCAUCUCCAGGGAAAACACCACAGAAGAUUGAAGAGGCUAUGUCGUUGUGGUAGUUGUCAGAACGAGAUGGAGUGACAAUGACAUCGUCUGCAUGCUGCUUCCCGAGCUUUCCUUCUUUGUUAGGGCUCGAACCAAACUCUUCCGCUAGCUUCUGCCUGAUUCCCAUGCUGUACCUGCAUUUAGAUGUUACCAGACCAUUAGGGCUGGGAUUUUGAACAGAACCGAACCGAUUAACCGGUUAUACCUGCACUAAAUUCGGUUUUGGUAUGGUCUGGGUAUAUUUUUUCUAAGAAAAGAAGAAAACAAAAGCAACCGAUUGUCGAACCAAACUGAACCUAAAAUCAUUUUUUUUAAACUACAGAAUUUUUAACUGAACUAAUCGAAAUAUUCAAAAUUAACCGAAUUAAUCAGAAACUUUAACAAAAUUAAACCAAAAUCAAAAACUUCGGUCAUAUUUUCAAAAACCAAACUAACCGAAUACUUUAUUUUGGGUGACUUCGGUAAGUUUGAUGUUGAACCAAACAAACCGAGAAAACCGAACUACUUGAAUCCAAAAAAACCCGAACUAACCAAACCCGCAAGUCUAAAUAUAUCCAUCUCCACUGACAAUGCUGUUUGAAUCACACAAUUCGGUUUUUGCUUAUUGAUUGACUUACGAAUCUUCUGGCCUUCCCUUUUCAUAAGCAGGUCCAAGAUUCCCAUUGAAGUAAAACAAUGUUUUCCUCUUUUCACGUGGCCUAAUGACAAGAAGAAGAAAACAAGUGUCAGGCUUUGAGUUUUAAGAGAUUGUCCAAGAACCAUCAGACAACAUAUAUACCUUUCCCAGUAAUUAACACGCAUGGAGUGUGGAUCAGGAACUUUCCAAGCUGGAACCACAAGAUCUUUGCUAGGGUCAAAGCAAGGAUGAUCACCUCUCCUCUCUUGAGAUAUCUCAUCCCAGUUAUCACCCCAAUAAGCUGUUGUUGAAUUUUUAUGCUUAGAGUUUGUGUUACCCCAAUGAACUAGCAUCAUGCUGUUCCAUAUCUCUUUAGGAGCAUAGCAAGCACCUUCAUCCCAUGAGAAAAACUGUAAUUCGUUAUAGCCACAUUAGCUUUUGAGAUAACAAUCCUAAUUAUAUGUUUUGCAUCAUCAUUUACCCAAAUAUGGUCUCUCCCAGAUGAGCGGUUCCAGUAUGGAUAUUUCUCAACGAUGUGUUCAUAAGCUCUUUUGUAGAACUCUAAGGUAAGUGAGCUUCUUAAACCAGUAUGAUUCUGCAAGUAAUUAAAAAACAUAUCAGCUCUCCAGAGUUUCUGCAAGCAGAGAAUAACAAAGAUGAGUUUCUUGAGUCUUGACCCAACCUGCAUGCUGAGGUGAGGUGAAUCAUCAGCACGGUUUAUAAUGCAUGAAUCAAGAACAGGAACAAAGAAGAAAUCUGCCUCUUCUCCAUUCAGUGUACGAUGAGCGGUUGCCAAAAUGCUCUCAUAGAAUGCCAUCUUCAAAAUUACAAGAGGCAAAUUUAUCUCUCAAUUCAAAUUCAGGAGAUAAUAUGUUGAAUUAGGCGUGAGAUUUUGAACCGAACCAAAAUUUUGGUUAAUUCGGUUAGUUUGGUUUGAAGUUCAUUUCGAUUUUGUAGGCUUUUUAAAAAAUAUUUGGUUUUUGGUUCGGUUGGACAAUUGUUUACUUCGAUUUUCUUCUUUUAGAAAAAGAUUAUACCCAAACCAUACCAAAACUCCAACCGAACUAACCAAAUUUCAAACCAAAAUAACUAAAUUAACCGAUUUUAACUGAACUUAUCCAAAACUUUAACAAAAUUUAACAAAAAUCUAACUGAAGUAAAAAAAAUUGGUACCAUUUUCAAAAAAUUGAAUUAACCAAAAACCGAACUGAAUUUUAUUUUGGGUUGGUUCGGUAAGAUAUAUGUUCAACCGAACUAACCGAACCCUCAUGCCUAUGUUAAAUUAUCUGGUAUCUGAGUCAAGUUUAGUAGGAAACCUGGGAACCAUAUAGAUAAUCUGUCCACACUGUUGCAUUCCUGUCAUCAUAGAUCCUGUUAACACACUCAAGCUUAAAAUGCCGACCCUGCAACAUCAAAUCCCCCAACCAGAUGAGAUUAAAAUGUUUUAUCAUAGAAAGAUUUUUAAAGUUUGUUUAGAAGAAGUAUACAAAGUUUGGAUUGUGACCUCAAUAAGUAAGCUGUUGAAGUCUGGGGGUAGAUCAUAGACGUAUAUAAGAGGCCUCUUCUUCUUCACAACAGCACUUAGAUUAAUGAGGUUUCCAGGGACAUCUUUACCACUUGGAACUUCGAGAUGUGCUGGUCUAAGCCAUUGUGGCCACUCUCCAAACGACGAUAGAGUGGAUGGAAUACUACAAUCUGUUCCAAACCAGCCUUUAUCACACUGAAACACACACACAAAGUUAGGAAGAUUUAAGGUUAAGAAUAUGCAAAGUUUAUGACAGUGGCUAGUAUAUAUUACCUGGCAGAAACCUCCUCUGCAUUUGCCAUGUCCAGAGCACUGAUUAACACAGGUGCAUUGUACAGGCACUUCGCAGAACCGUCCCCAAAGACAAUCAUACUUACAGUCACAUUCCUCUUUGAUUUUCACUUUCAUAGCAUAUGCAUCUUCCGGAUCCACAUUGCACCAUCCUUGUUUGCUACUGUUUGUUGUUAAAAUGUCCAAGUCUGGUUUAGACCAAUCCGUCAUUUUAGGUUCUCCAGGAUUCACAGGCGCGCUAAAAACAUUUGUGUUAAAUGUUAGAUAGUCUUCAAAGCUUGAUGACUCAAGAAGAAAAAGAAGCAGGUGAAAGAAACUUACUUGAUUUGGAAUCCACAUGACUCUGGAGCUGGACGAUUUGGAUAUUUGGUGCCUUCUCCACAAAAGCACAUGGCUCUUGUGGUAUCACAAUGUCUAGAACAUAUUGAAACAACCCAUCGACCGUAUGGCAUCUCAGGUGUUUUCUCAUAGUUGCAUUCUAACUGCUGCUUUUGUGAACAGUCUUCACCUACACAGAACAGGUGAAAAGUAACUUCAUUUUAAACAAGGGUAGACGAUCUAUUUCCCCACUAGAAAUAUCGUAUAGCAGUACUAACCAGUAAAUCCGUGGAAGCAACGGCAAAUCCCAAACUCAUGGUUACAAACACCUUGACCACUACACUCAUUCAGACACUUCCUCCCACCAAUUGGCUACCAAAAAAAAAACACGAACUUUAUAACAAAAACCAGCCGAAGGACUCGAAGAAGUAACAAAAGGAUAAGUCCCAAAGUCAAUAUCCAACAUAGUAGCCUGACCACCUUCAACCAAAACCUUCUUCUUCUUAUUCGAAAUCGCGUCAUUCAUGAAAUGAACCGUGUCAGUUAUAUACGGCUCCAACCUCUCAGCGUACCUCUUAUACGCUUCGACCUCUUCCCUAAGCAUCUCCGGAGUGUACUUAAACCCCGGAAACCUCGCAGCCGCAUCCGCUAGCAAAAGAUCAAGCUUCUGAGGCAAAGUGUCCAUGUGUCUUAGAUCACCAACUCUGAUACCGUUCCUUAUCACUUUACUUGAGUAGCAAGGACCUAUUCCUCUCUUUGUCGUACCGAUGAACGAUUUUGCGAGCUCGGAUUCUCUGAGACCGUCCACUUCUUGGUGGAAGUCGAACAAGAGAUGAGCACGGUCUGAGACCAGGAUCCUUCCUUUGCAGGAGACGCCGUUGGACUCAAGACCAUCGAUCUCUUUGAAGAGACCUGGUAGAUGAACCACAACUCCGUUGCCGAUUACACAGGUAGUGUCCUCGUUGAGUAUACCUGAAGGCACGAGGUGAAGUGCAAACUUCUUCCCUUCUGAGUUGUAUAUAGUGUGUCCAGCAUUAGCUCCACCCUUGACAACAAAGAUUACAACUUUAAUAUCAAAAGCCAAAACUUUUGAUUAGUAAAAAUCAGUGUUCUAAAAAUCGGUUUAGGCGGCUUCUAAUCAAUAAUCUCAUAAUCAGUAAAUUAG